CCUACGGGUGGCAGCAGUGAGGAAUAUUGGUCAAUGGCCGGGAGGCUGAAGCAGCCAAGUCGCGUGAGGGAAGACGGCCCUCCGGGUUGUAAACCUCUUUUGUCCGGGAGCAAGGUGCAGGUCGGGACCUGCUGUGAGAGUACCUGAAGAAAAAGCAUCGGCAAACUCCGUGCCAGCGGGCGCGGUAAUACGGAGGCUGCGAGCGUUAUCCGGCUUUAUUGGGUUUAAAGGGUGCGCAGGCGGAGGCACAAGUCAGCGGUAAAAUCGCGGGGCUCAACCCCGCGCCGCCGUUGAAACUGUGGCCCGUGAGUGCGCGAAGGGUAGGCGGAAUGCGUGGUGUAGCGGGGAAAUGCAGAGAUAUCACGCAGAACUCCGAUCGCGAAGGCAGCCUACCGGCGCGCAACUGACGCUCAUGCACGAAAGCGUGGGUAUCGAACAGGAUUAGAUACCCUAGUAGUC
Molecule: ribosomal RNA, 459 nt
Filed under: uncultured bacterium
Lineage: Bacteria
Description: partial 16S ribosomal RNA
Rfam family: Bacterial small subunit ribosomal RNA
Source: RNAcentral